RNAcentral lists this ribosomal RNA (793 nucleotides) under uncultured bacterium. RNAcentral's name for it is "bacterial SSU rRNA". It matches the Rfam family "Bacterial small subunit ribosomal RNA", at positions 8 to 798 of the family's 1533-position model. The record is from RNAcentral.
AGAGUUUGAUCAUGGCUCAGGACGAACGCUGGCGGCGUGCUUAACACAUGCAAGUCGAACGGAAAGGCCCUUCGGGGUACUCGAGUGGCGAACGGGUGAGUAACACGUGGGUGAUCUGCCCUGCACUUUGGGAUAAGCCUGGGAAACUGGGUCUAAUACCGAAUAGGACCGCGCGCUUCAUGGUGUGUGGUGGAAAGCUUUUGCGGUGUGGGAUGGGCCCGCGGCCUAUCAGCUUGUUGGUGGGGUAAUGGCCUACCAAGGCGACGACGGGUAGCCGGCCUGAGAGGGUGACCGGCCACACUGGGACUGAGAUACGGCCCAGACUCCUACGGGAGGCAGCAGUGGGGAAUUUUGGACAAUGGACGCAAGCCUGAUCCAGCCAUGCCGCGUGCGGGAAGAAGGCCUUCGGGUUGUAAACCGCUUUUGUCAGGGAAGAAAUCCUUUGGGUUAAUACCCCGGGGGGAUGACGGUACCUGAAGAAUAAGCACCGGCUAACUACGUGCCAGCAGCCGCGGUAAUACGUAGGGUGCAAGCGUUAAUCGGAAUUACUGGGCGUAAAGCGUGCGCAGGCGGUUUUGUAAGACAGAGGUGAAAUCCCCGGGCUCAACCUGGGAACUGCCUUUGUGACUGCAAGGCUUGAGUGCGGCAGAGGGGGAUGGAAUUCCGCGUGUAGCAGUGAAAUGCGUAGAUAUGCGGAGGAACACCGAUGGCGAAGGCAAUCCCCUGGGCCUGCACUGACGCUCAUGCACGAAAGUGUGGGGAGCAAACAGGAUUAGAUACCCCGGUAGUCCAA